RNAcentral lists this ribosomal RNA (497 nucleotides) under uncultured bacterium. Its description in RNAcentral is "partial 16S ribosomal RNA". It matches the Rfam family "Bacterial small subunit ribosomal RNA", at positions 28 to 507 of the family's 1533-position model. The record is from RNAcentral.
GAUGAACGCUGGCGGCGUGCCUAAUACAUGCAAGUCGAGCGAACAGACGAGGAUUUUGCUCCUCUGACGUUAGCGGCGGACGGGUGAGUAACACGUGUAUACCCUACCUAUAAGACUGGGAUAACUUCGGGAAACCGGAUCUAAUACCGGAUAAUAUAUUGAACCGCAUGGUUCAAUAGUGAAAGACGGCUUUGCUGUCACUUCUAGAUGGUUCCGCGCCGCAUUAGCUAGUUGGUAAGGUAACGGCUUACCAAGGCAACGAUGCGUAGCCGACCUGAGAGGGUGAUCGGCGACACUGGAACUGAGACACGGUCCAGACUCCUACGGGAGGCAGCAGUAGGGAAUCUUCCGCAAUGGGCGAAAGCCUGACGGAGCAACGCCGCGUGAGUGAUGAAGGUCUUCGGAUCGUAAAGCUCUGUUAUUAGGGAAGAACAAAUGUGUAAGUAACUAUGCACGUCUUGACGGUACCUAAUCAGAAAGCAACGGCUAACUACGUG